Non-coding RNA from Nicotiana tabacum (common tobacco), 1917 nucleotides. The record is from RefSeq and is a predicted model, not a curated record. NCBI's taxonomy places the organism in Eukaryota, Viridiplantae, Streptophyta, Magnoliopsida, Solanales, Solanaceae.
AACUUGGUCAAAAGACGGAUUAUUCGAACGAUUAGGGCAACAACUCACUUUCUCUCCUCUCUAUCAGACUCCUUCACUCCUUCAACAAUGUGAUUUUUUUUUCUUUAAAUACAAAAAUCGGGCGUGAAUCUAGGAUUAUUGUAUGAAAAUUAGAUCAAAAUUGCAAGAUUUUUGCUGCAUAACUCUGAAAUUCGAAGUCGUAUGUUGCUGCUCCAUAAGAUUCUCAGGCGAAAGGGUCGACAAGAAUUUAUGUGGUAAAAGUUCUCAUAAAGAUUCAGUUUUUAUUAGUCUUCGUGCUUGAUCCAAAAGGCAUUUCAAGGUCUGGAACAUGGACAAUCUAAAACGUGAUUGGAUGUACAAAAGGUUGGAUGGCCGAGGGGUUAUUAAUUCAAGUUUCAUAACUGGUGUGAACAAAUUUCUCCAGUUUGCUUGUUCUCAGCGCAAUCGCAUGAGUGAUGACAAUGUUAGAUGUCCAUGUAAAAAAUGUCACAACAUUAAAUACUUGGAUGCUGAACUGUUAAAUUACACAUUUAUCAAUAUGAAUUUGUUGAGAACUAUUUUCUUUGGAAGUAUCAAGGAGAAAAAAAUGUGAUCGGUGAGAUGUCUUCUAGUGGUGAUUUGCAUGGUGGCGCUCAACCUGAAUCUGGAUAUGAGAAUCCAUAUCGACAAAUGGUCUUGGAUGCAGCUGGACCUAAUUUUGGCCAUGGUUUGAGCUAGCAGUCGUAUAAUAAUACUGAACCUGAGUUGUCUCAUUCUUAUGAACUUCAAUGCCGGCAGAGCCUAAUCCUUCAAUGGAGGAGGAGCCAAAUCUUGAGUGCCAAAGGUUUUAUGAUUUGUUACAGGCCGCUGAUGCAAAAUAAUACCCUGGUUCUUCCCUCUCUCAACUCACAGUGAUUUCUAGGAUGCUAAAUAGAUACUUUAUCACAAAGAGGUUAUAACCAAAUGAUGCAAUUGAUGAAAGAGGCUUUACCAGAAGAUAACACAAUGCUUGAUAACUAUUACGAGACCAAGAAGCUAGUGCGUAGCUUGGGUUUGCUAAUUGAAAAGAUUGAUUGUUGUAAUUUUGGAUGUAUGUUGUAUUGGGGUGAAGAUGAGGACCUCACAUCUUGCAUGUUUUGUGGCCACCAGAGGUACAAACGUUGUGUCGGUUCUCGUAAGAGGAAAUUAAUCCCUUACAAAAAAAUGUAUUAUUUUCCUUUGAUUCCUAGAUUGCGGAGAUUAUAUGCAUGUCAUGCUACAACCGCUGAUAUGAAAUGACAUCAUGAGCACAUACAAGAGGAGGGCGUAAUGCGUCAUCCAUCAGACUCUAAGGCUUGGAAGCAUUUCAAUAAAACUCAUCCCUUUUUUGCUGCUGAACCAAGAAAUGUGAGGUUUGGAUUAUGUACUGAUGGUUUUCAACCCUUUGGUCAUUCAGGGAGGAAAUACUCAUCAUGGCCAGUGAUUGUCACUCCAUACAAUUUGCCUCCAGGGAUGUGUAUGAAAGAGGUGUACAUGUUCUUAACUGUCAUUGUUCCAGGGCCAAACAACCGUAAACAAAAAAUUGAUGUUUAUCUACAACCUUUAAUAAAGGAAUUAACCUUGUUGUGGGAGACGGGUGUAGAAGCAUUUGACAUCUCAAAAAAACAAAAUUUUCAAUUAAGGGCCGCUUUGAUGUGGACAAUCAAUGACUUUCCAGCAUAUUCUAUGUUAUCUGGAUGGAGUACUGCCGGUAACUUAGCAUGUCCUUAUUGUAUGGAGGAAGCACAAUCCUUCAGAUUACGUCAUGGUGGGAAAACAACUUAGUUUGACAGUCAUAGAAUGUUUCCUGACCAAAAUCAUCCAUUUAGGAGAGAUCGUAAAAACUUUCAUAAAGGCCAGUCUGUCAGAAGGCUACCACCACCCCUUAGAACAGGAGAAGAAAUCUUGAAGCAAAUUUGU